This is an RNA transcript of Oncorhynchus nerka (sockeye salmon), 3012 nucleotides long. It is a transcript of the gene named E3 ubiquitin-protein ligase RNF152-like, with no coding region annotated. NCBI's taxonomy places the organism in Eukaryota, Metazoa, Chordata, Actinopteri, Salmoniformes, Salmonidae. The record is from RefSeq and is a predicted model, not a curated record. The transcript is spliced from 3 exons.
CGGGCCAGAUAAUAGAAUCCUCUCAUUGUUUUGACUGAACUGGAGAUCGAGGGUGUGUGUUUAACUUGGUCAAAACAAGCAGGCUACUACAAGAAUCACUGCAACAAAACAAGGAACAUAUGUUCUGUAGGACUGGCAUCACAAAGUACGGUCAUCCUGCUAUUGACACAGAAUGUGACAACAACAGUAAUUGACGAGGCAGUGUAAACCGGGCUGGUGAGUGCAGGACCUGAGCCCUAGGACCAUGCCCCAGGACCACCUGACAUGAUGACUCCUUGCUGUCCCCAGUCCACCUGGCCAUGCUGCUGUUCCAGUUUCAACUGACCUGAGCCCUAGGACCAUGCCCCAGGACUACCUGACAUGAUGACUCCUUGCUGUCCCCAGUCCACCUGGCCAUGCUGCUGUUCCAGUUUCAACUUCCACCUGACUGUGCUGCUGCUCCAGUUUCAACUGUUCUGCCUUAUUAUUAUUCGACCAUGCUGGUCAUUUAUGAACAUCUGAACAUCUUGGCCAUGUUCUGUUAUAAUCUCCACCCGGCACAGCCAGAAGAGGACUGGCCACCCCACAUAGCCUGGUUCCUCUCUAGGUUUCUUCCUAGGUUUUGGCCUUUCUAGGGAGUUUUUCCUAGCCACCGUGCUUCUACACCUGCAUUGCUUGCUGUUUGGGGUUUUAGGCUGGGUUUCUGUACAGCACUUUGAGAUAUCAGCUGAUGUACGAAGGGCUAUAUAAAUAAAUUUGAUUUGAUUUGUGACGCAAUACCAAGCCCUUUAUAGAGAAUAUUUCCAGAUUCUUGAUAUCCUUUGGUCUGUGUUUAUGGACCACAGGUUUUCAAUGGGGUUCAAGUCCAGAGACAAAAUGUAGAUUUUUUGGGUAAAUUAAUUAUUUUGAUGUGUGUUUGAGGUCAUUGUCUUUUUGGAACAUCCAGUUUCAGACUCCUGGCAGAGGCAACCAGGUUUUUGUCUAAAAUGUCCUUGUACUUGGUAGAGUUCAUGGUGCUGUUGACCUCAACCUCUCUAGGGGGUGUGGAACGCUACCGUCCCACCUGGCCAACAUCCCGCGAAAUUGCAGAGCUCCAAAUUCAAUAACAGAAAUACUCAUUAUAAAAAUUCAUGAAACAUACAAGUGUUGUACAUCGGUUUAAAGAUGGACUUCUUGUUAAUCCAACCACGGUGUCAGAUUUCAAAAAUACUUUACGGCUAAAGCAAACCAUGCGAUAAUCUCAGAACAGCGCCCAUAUGAUUGCACUCCGAAGACUCCAUGUUGCACAAUAAAUGUUAAUUUUGUCCGAUAAUGUCUCUCUUUAUAUUCAAAAACCUCAGUUUUGUUUGUGCGUUUUGUUCAGUAACGAAGCAUGCAGACGACAAAUCCAAAAAGUACCAUAAAAGUUCGUAGAAACAUGUCAAAUGAUGUUUAUAAACAAUUCUCAGGUUGUUUUUGUCAUAAAUAAUCGAUCAUAUUUCAACCGAACAAUAGCUUCCUCAAUAGAAAAGGAGAAACAAGAAAGGUACACUCCCGGUCAUGCGCUGGACUCAUGUCUGGAAAUUUCCACUGUCCACUCAUUGAAAGUGCCUUUUCUCCCUCAUUUUUCAGAGUAAAAGCCUGAAACAAUGCCUAAAGACUGGCCACAUGCUGUGAAAGCCAUAGGGUCUUGAACUGUUCCAUAAGUCUUUGUAUGGUGGAUAGGCUUUCAAUGGAAAAACAGGCUUUUCAAAAUAAAGGCACUUCCUGGAUGGAUUUUCCUCCGGUUUUCGCCUGCCAUAUUCAUUAUUUUAACAGUUUUGGAAACUUUAGAGUGUUUUCUAUCCAAAUCUACCAAUGAUAUUGUUGGUUGCUCUCAUCAAUGGCUAUUUUCUGGAAACCCUUCCAAAGAGCCUAAUGCCAUGGAUGUGGCGUCUAAUUGUAGAUUUGGCGACUUGGUGACUCCACGAUGCGAUCAAGUUCUGUAAUUCUCCACCUGUGGCCCUUCGAUUUUCCUUUGCCUCCCGAACCUUCUUUUUCAAUGUGUGUGGGGACAAGGUACACUUGCAUCCUUUACCAGCAAGUGAACCACUGUUUCAGUGGUUUUAAACAUUUUAAUUCUUGCCCUAAUAGUGGUAAGUCAUAUAUUUAUUUAUUUAGGUAUUAUUUUGUGCCCAUUGCCUGAUUUAUGAAGGUCAACAACCAUUUUUCUCAUUUCAUUUGUGAGUUAUUUGCUUUUCCCCAUGGUGAUAGAUGACAAAUUCAUUUUACACCUGUGUUACCUCAUUUUUAUACCCCAGUGAAACAAAAAGCCAUGGAAGGCCACAAUACAUUUCCUUAAGCUGAGAUGAACAUACCAAAAAAAAGUACAUUGUUGAUGCAGAUUCAAUAACUGUUAUUUAAAGAAUCAUUAGUGGGGCCAGUUAUUUUGACACCUAUUUAUAUAUAUUUUUUUUUAUUAUCAUACCAUAUAGCUCAGUAUUUGUAUUACUUAUAUACUUUUAUUUUUAUUUUUACUUUUUGCUCAUCUUUAUGGAAAGAUGUAGGCAAUGGGGACUGUCUAUUUUUAUCUAUUUUUUUACAAUAUUGCGGACAUGCAGAGAAUUAAAUUGGAUUACUUCAACGUAACUUUAGAUCACUCCCGAAUCAUCCUCUUCAACAGUGUUCCAUUAUAGAGCUUUCCUUUGGUGUGGAUUUAGGCCUAUACAUUCAUAUCAGUUGUGUUCUUCCAUUGUAUUCACGUUUCCUUAUUUCUAUUGUGGAUUGUGUUUCUGUGCCCCAAUGGAAAGUCUACAAAACUAUGAGCAAACCAACCUUUGUAUUGAAUGCUUGGAAUUGGAUUGUGAUGAUACAGAUGAAUUAAUCCUGCACACAAUGUGCUUAUUUUUCAUUACUUUUUUUCUCAGGAAAAGUUUUUUCUUUGUGUAUGAAAUUGUUUGGGGAAAUAUGCAUAAAUGGAGAGGACUUGCCCAUAAUUCUGCACCUUUGCAUAGUUAUACUUACAAUUUUGAUCAUCAUGAUUUAGUGACUGGAAUAAAAAUGUAUUGAUCUGCA